This 253-nucleotide ribosomal RNA is filed under the name uncultured bacterium. RNAcentral's name for it is "partial 16S ribosomal RNA". It matches the Rfam family "Bacterial small subunit ribosomal RNA", at positions 524 to 776 of the family's 1533-position model. The record is from RNAcentral.
UACAGAGGCCUCGAGCGUUAGGCGGAAUCACUGGGCUUAAAGCGUGUGUAGGCGGACUUCUAAGUACCUUGUGAAAUCCCACGGCUUACCCGUGGAACGGCUGGGUAUACUGGGAGUCUUGAGCCACUUAGGGGCUACCGGAACAAAUGGUGGAGCGGUGAAAUGCGUAGAUAUCAUUUGGAACGCCAAUGGUGAAAACAGGUAGCUGGGAGUGUGCUGACGCUGAGACACGAAAGCCAGGGGAGCGAACGGG